GAUGAACGCUGGCGGCGUGCCUAAUACAUGCAAGUCGAGCGAACAGACGAGGAGCUUGCUCCUCUGACGUUAGCGGCGGACGGGUGAGUAACACGUGGAUAACCUACCUAUAAGACUGGGAUAACUUCGGGAAACCGGAGCUAAUACCGGAUAAUAUAUUGAACCGCAUGGUUCAAUAGUGAAAGACGGUUUUGCUGUCACUUAUAGAUGGAUCCGCGCCGCAUUAGCUAGUUGGUAAGGUAACGGCUUACCAAGGCAACGAUGCGUAGCCGACCUGAGAGGGUGAUCGGCCACACUGGAACUGAGACACGGUCCAGACUCCUACGGGAGGCAGCAGUAGGGAAUCUUCCGCAAUGGGCGAAAGCCUGACGGAGCAACGCCGCGUGAGUGAUGAAGGUCUUCGGAUCGUAAAACUCUGUUAUUAGGGAAGAACAAAUGUGUAAGUAACUAUGCACGUCUUGGCGGUACCUAAGCAGAAAGCCACGGCUAACUACGU
Molecule: ribosomal RNA, 496 nt
Filed under: uncultured bacterium
Lineage: Bacteria
Description: partial 16S ribosomal RNA
Rfam family: Bacterial small subunit ribosomal RNA
Source: RNAcentral